RNAcentral lists this unclassified non-coding RNA (390 nucleotides) under Hevea brasiliensis (rubber tree). Lineage: Eukaryota; Viridiplantae; Streptophyta; Magnoliopsida; Malpighiales; Euphorbiaceae. The record is from RNAcentral.
GAGACACUUGAGCGCAGGCAGCAAAUUGAGUCUUUGGUGCAAGCUAAACGUGGUUUAGAGACUGAGUUAACUCGGACUAGUAUAGAGAAGACAGAUUUGGAGAAUCUGCUGACUCGGUCAACUGAGGACAGACUGAGUUUGGAGAUAGAGAAGGGGCUGUUUUGUGUUUUUAUUGAGACGAGGAUGAAUGAGAUGGGGGUUGUUGCGGAGGGCUUGUUAAGAGAAAAGGGAGAGAAAGAGAUUGAGAGUGUCUUCUUGAAGACUGAGGUGAAUGGGCUACUGGAAAAUCUUGAAAAUGAGAGACAGAAAUUGAGCUGGGCUUGUCGGGAUAGGGAUAUGUUGAGGUUUGAUCUGGACAACUGGGUGAACGAGGCAAAUGGCUUGAGGGAG